Molecule: long non-coding RNA, 95 nt
Organism: Ornithodoros turicata
Lineage: Eukaryota; Metazoa; Arthropoda; Arachnida; Ixodida; Argasidae
Exons: 4
Source: RefSeq, a predicted model, not a curated record
ACUACCCGGGCCCCCCUAUGCAGUACUACCCUGGCCCCCCUAUGCAGUACUACCCUGGCCCCCCUAUGCAGUACUACCCCGGCCCCCCUAUGCAU